CCAAUAGCGUAUAUUAAAGUUGUUGCAGUUAAAAAGCUCGUAGUUGAAUUUCGGGGUUAGUAGGUUGGUCAUGCCUCUGGUAUGUACUGGUCUCACUGAUUCCUCCUUCCUGAUGAGCCGUAAUGCCAUUAAUUUGGUGUUGCGGGGAAUCUGGACUGUUACUUUGAAAAAAUUAGAGUGUUUAAAGCAAGCUAACGCUUGAAUACAUUAGCAUGGAAUAAUGAAAUAGGACGUUCGAUCCUAUUUUGUUGGUUUCUAGGAUUGACGUAAUGAUUAAUAGUGAUAGUUGGGGGCAUUAGUAUUCAAUUGUCAGAGGUGAAAUUCUUGGAUUUAUUGAAGACUAACUACUGCGAAAGCAUUUGCCAAGGAUUUUUUCAUUAAUCAAGAACGAAAGUUAGGGGAUCGAAGACGAUCAGAUACCGUCGUAGUCUUAACCAUAAACUAUGCCGACUAGGGAUCGGAUGAUGUUAAUUUUUUAAUGACUCAUUCGGCGCCUUACG
Molecule: ribosomal RNA, 500 nt
Filed under: uncultured Glomeromycotina
Lineage: Eukaryota; Fungi; Glomeromycota
Description: partial small subunit ribosomal RNA
Rfam family: Eukaryotic small subunit ribosomal RNA
Source: RNAcentral